GACGAACGCUGGCGGCGUGCUUAACACAUGCAAGUCGAACGGCAAGGCCCUGCUUUUGUGGGGUGCUCGAGUGGCGAACGGGUGAGUAACACGUGAGUAACCUGCCCUUGACUUUGGUAUAACUUCAGGAAACUGGGGCUAAUACCGGAUAGGAGCUCCUGCUGCAUGGUGGGCGUUGGAAAGUUUCGGCGGUUGGGGAUGGACUCGCGGCUUAUCAGCUUGUUGGUGGGGUAGUGGCUUACCAAGGCUUUGACGGGUAGACGGCCUGAGAGGGUGACCGGCCACAUUGGGACUGAGAUACGGCACAGACUCCUACGGGAGGCAGAAGUGGGGAAUAUUGCACAAUGGGCGGAAGCCUGAUGCAGCAACGCCGCGUGCGGGAUGACGGCCUUCGGGUUGUAAACCGCUUUCGCCUGUGACGAAGCGUGAGUGAAGGUAAUGGGUAAAGAAGCACCGGCUAACUACGUG
Molecule: ribosomal RNA, 468 nt
Filed under: uncultured bacterium
Lineage: Bacteria
Description: partial 16S ribosomal RNA
Rfam family: Bacterial small subunit ribosomal RNA
Source: RNAcentral